UGUGACUAAAGGAUCCAACUUGAAAGUGAAUUGAAGUAGUUGGGAAAGUGUUAUUGAGAAUUGGUGAUGAAGCAUGCACUAAAUUAAACAUACUUGUGUGUUAAAAUGUGGGUGUGAUUAAUCAAGUGGUACAGGAUUUGUCUGAACCAGUGUGCUUGCAGAUAAUUAUUAUAUCAGUUCAUCAUGCUGCUUGUGGUUAUCUCCUUAUAUGGUGUUGAAAGAUACUUUAGGCACUCUGUAUAAGUUCUCUUUCUUCCAUUGCAGGGUGUGAAUAGAGCAUUUCCUUUUGUUUCUAGCGAUGAAUCUGACAAGAUUAUUGAAACCCAGACGCCAAUCUUAUUUCAGCUGGUUCAUUCUAGGAGCUUUAAUGUGGGAGUUCAAGCAUUAAUGCUUCUUGACAAGAUCUCUACCAGAAAUCAAAUUGUUAGUGAUAGAUUCUACCGAGCCUUAUAUUCAAAACUCUUGCUACCAACUGCCAUGAACUCUUCAAAGAGGAAAUAUUUAUUGGGCUACUUCUAAGGGCGAUGAAAAAUGACAUCAAUCUAAGGAGGGUCGCUGCUUUCUCUAAGCGUUUGUUACAGGUUGAUGGUGGAUUGUAGUAAACCUGGCUAUGAAGCUCUUAGAAGCUACUUCGAUUAUGGACUUCGCCAAUUCAUGCAAACAUGAUACUCAUUAUAUAUCGGCAGAGGGUCUAUCUUAACAUUUGUUAUCCCUGGCAAUUUUGGUUGUACAUAUUAAAGCCUAA
Molecule: long non-coding RNA, 745 nt
Organism: Coffea eugenioides
Lineage: Eukaryota; Viridiplantae; Streptophyta; Magnoliopsida; Gentianales; Rubiaceae
Exons: 4
Source: RefSeq, a predicted model, not a curated record